This 206-nucleotide ribosomal RNA is filed under the name uncultured bacterium. Its description in RNAcentral is "partial 16S ribosomal RNA". It matches the Rfam family "Bacterial small subunit ribosomal RNA", at positions 30 to 231 of the family's 1533-position model. The record is from RNAcentral.
AUUGAACGCUGGCGGCGUGCCUAACACAUGCAAGUCGAGCGGUAACAGGUGUAGCAAUACAUGCUGACGAGCGGCGGACGGGUGAGUAACGCUUGGGAAUCUGCCUGUUAGUGGGGGACAACCCGGGGAAACUCGGGCUAAUACCGCAUACGCACUACGGUGGAAAGCCGGGGACCGCAAGGCCUGGCGCUAACAGAUGGACGACC